This is a long non-coding RNA of Hibiscus syriacus, 296 nucleotides long. RefSeq lists it as uncharacterized. Lineage: Eukaryota; Viridiplantae; Streptophyta; Magnoliopsida; Malvales; Malvaceae. The record is from RefSeq and is a predicted model, not a curated record. The transcript has 2 exons.
UGCAGGUAUGGGAAAAUUCUGUAAAAGAUUAAUGCCAGCUUCGUGCUUGUAGUAGUAAAUUUGAUGGGCCUGCAAUCCUAAAGGUAUCCAGGAGAUGAAUUUACGUAAAUGGUUAUACAUAAAUCUAUGUUCAAAUCAACAAAUGAGAUGUGCUUCAAAUUCAAAUCUGAUGGACAUCAUCAAUCUAGAGAAGGUACGGAUGAGAUCGAAUUAGUUGGACCAUUGGAUGGAGGAAAGUUUAAGGAAUAACCAUAGAGAUGUGCCGCCUAGACAUAUGCAUGUUGACGAUGAGAAGA